This 459-nucleotide ribosomal RNA is filed under the name uncultured bacterium. RNAcentral describes it as "partial 16S ribosomal RNA". It matches the Rfam family "Bacterial small subunit ribosomal RNA", at positions 338 to 795 of the family's 1533-position model. The record is from RNAcentral.
CCUACGUGUGUCAGCAGUGAGGAAUAUUGGUCAAUGGGCGCGAGCCUGAACCAGCCAAGUCGCGUGCAGGAUGACGGUCCUAUGGAUUGUAAACCUCUUUUGUCGGGGAGUAAACUACGUCACGCGUGGCUUUCUGAAAGUACCCGAAGAAAAAGCAUCGGCUAAUUCCGUGCCAGCAGCCGCGGUAAUACGGAGGAUACGAGCGUUAUCCGGAUUUAUUGGGUUUAAAGGGUGCGCAGGCGGAAGCUAAGGGCAGCGGUAAAAUUGAGAGGCUCAACCUUGUCGAGCCGUGGGAACUGGUUGUCUUGAGUGAGCGAGAGGUAUGCGGAAUGCGUGGUGUAGCGGUGAAAUGCUUAGAUAUCACGCAGAACUCCGAUUGCGAAGGCAGCAUACCGUCGCUCUACUGACGCUCAUGCACGAAGGUGUGGGUAUCGAACAGGAUUAGAUACCCGAGUAGUC